RNAcentral lists this ribosomal RNA (253 nucleotides) under uncultured bacterium. Its description in RNAcentral is "partial 16S ribosomal RNA". It matches the Rfam family "Bacterial small subunit ribosomal RNA", at positions 524 to 776 of the family's 1533-position model. The record is from RNAcentral.
UACGUAGGGUGCAAGCGUUGUCCGGAAUUAUUGGGCGUAAAGAGCUCGUAGGCGGUCUGUCGCGUCGGCUGUGAAAACCCGUGGCUCAACCCCGGGCCUGCAGUCGAUACGGGCAGACUAGAGUGCGGUAGGGGAGACUGGAAUUCCUGGUGUAGCGGUGAAAUGCGCAGAUAUCAGGAGGAACACCGGUGGCGAAGGCGGGUCUCUGGGCCGUAACUGACGCUGAUGCGCGAAAGCCAGGGGAGCGAACGGG